Molecule: ribosomal RNA, 253 nt
Filed under: uncultured bacterium
Lineage: Bacteria
Description: partial 16S ribosomal RNA
Rfam family: Bacterial small subunit ribosomal RNA
Source: RNAcentral
UACAGAGGGUGCAAGCGUUAAUCGGAAUUACUGGGCGUAAAGCGCGCGUAGGUGGGUAAUUAAGUUGGAUGUAAAAGCCCUGGGCUUAACCUAGGAAUGUCAUCCAAUACUGGUUAUCUAGAGUACGGUAGAGGGAAGUGGAAUUUCCGGUGUAGCGGUGAAAUGCGUAGAUAUCGGAAGGAACACCAGUGGCGAAGGCGACUUCCUGGACUGAUACUGACACUGAGGCGCGAAAGCGUGGGGAGCAAACAGG